UCUGGCAAUCGCAGUGAUAUCAAAUGGUAAGUUGGCACAUUUUUCCUUUCAUUGUUAAUACAAUUGUCUGUAUCAAGUGAUUUCAGUUUUAUACUUUGUAUUAUAUACAUUGGCAAGUGUGUAAGGAAAAUGUAAUACGCCCAAGCCUGCAGAAAAGCCCAACCAGGCCGCCUGAAGGAACGACGGCAUUUUGAUUGCUAUUCGGUGCUGCUUGGCCCCACCUCCUCGUUGGUUUCUAGUCACCGGUAUCCCCUGCACUUGAAAUCUUCAAUAUCGCAAGUCCCUUGGGUUCUCUCGCUCAUCUCCAUUCGGUUUCAGCCAUCGUGCACCGCCACGCAUGACCAAGUUGUACGUUGAGGCCUUUGUGUGUAGGUUUUGUUGCCAGAGCCUUCGUCUUUAUUCCGCAUUGCUGUUGUUACCCCAUCGGUCAAGUUGGACUAUAAAGGUAUACUAUCAAGAUCCAUCAUUGCUGGUGCCUGAUUCUCAAAACUUUUCUUCAAUGAUGGCACGUGGAAUAGAUUGUGGACUCUAUGGAACUCAGUUGGCAACUUUACAAGGUACGUAACUGCUCCCACUUUAUCCAUUAUCUUAUAGGGUCCCACAUAUCUUAGACUUAAUUUGCCUUACACUCCGAAACAACUUACUUCUCU
This is a long non-coding RNA of Carya illinoinensis, 650 nucleotides long. RefSeq lists it as uncharacterized. NCBI's taxonomy places the organism in Eukaryota, Viridiplantae, Streptophyta, Magnoliopsida, Fagales, Juglandaceae. The transcript has 5 exons. The record is from RefSeq and is a predicted model, not a curated record.